GACGAACGCUGGCGGCGUGCUUAACACAUGCAAGUCGAACGGUAAGGCUCCAGCUUGCUGGGGUACACGAGUGGCGAACGGGUGAGUAACACGUGGGUGACCUGCCCUGCACUUCGGGAUAAGCCUGGGAAACUAGGUCUAAUACCGGAUAGGACCGCACCGUGAGGGUGUGGUGGAAAGUUUUUUCGGUGUGGGAUGGGCCCGCGGCCUAUCAGCUUGUUGGUGGGGUAAUGGCCUACCAAGGCGGCGACGGGUAGCCGGCCUGAGAGGGUGGACGGCCACAUUGGGACUGAGACACGGCCCAGACUCCUACGGGAGGCAGCAGUGGGGAAUAUUGCACAAUGGGCGGAAGCCUGAUGCAGCGACGCCGCGUGGGGGAUGACGGCCUUCGGGUUGUAAACUCCUUUCACCAUCGACGAAGGGUUUCUGACGGUAGAUGGAGAAGAAGCACCGGCUAACUACGUG
Molecule: ribosomal RNA, 465 nt
Filed under: uncultured bacterium
Lineage: Bacteria
Description: partial 16S ribosomal RNA
Rfam family: Bacterial small subunit ribosomal RNA
Source: RNAcentral